This 386-nucleotide ribosomal RNA is filed under the name Liagore erythematica. RNAcentral describes it as "partial 12S ribosomal RNA". Lineage: Eukaryota; Metazoa; Arthropoda; Malacostraca; Decapoda; Xanthidae. The record is from RNAcentral.
UUAGAUACCCUAUUAUACUAAUAAAAGUCUAAAUUAUUAAUAGAUAUAUUCUUUAAAUUUGAAGAAUUUGGCGGUGGUUUAAUCUUAUUAGAGGAACCUGUUUGAGUCGAUCGAUACACCACGCUAUAUCUUACUCACUUUAUUUAGUUUAUAUACCGUCAUUAUCAGAUGAUUUUUAAAGAAAAUAGAAAUCAUUAAAAAUUAUAAAUAUAUAUUAUUAGUAAGUUAAAUUAGAUCAAGGUGUAGCUUAUAAGUGAGUUUAAAUGGGUUACAAUAAAAUAUAUUUAUUACGAAUUAAUUAUGGGAAAAAUAUUAUGAAGGAGGAUUUAAUUGUAAUAUGAGUUGAAUGAACUUGUAAGAUAUUGGCUCUAAACCAUGUACAUAUC